Molecule: non-coding RNA, 45 nt
Organism: Schistosoma rodhaini
Lineage: Eukaryota; Metazoa; Platyhelminthes; Trematoda; Strigeidida; Schistosomatidae
Source: Rfam
AUCCAGCUGACAAGUCUCUCAUACGACGAAACGCGCGUCCUGAAU